UGAGGAACAUGACCUUCGGCGGGGGAUAGCCGGCCCAACGGCCGGGUAAUACCGCGUACGACCACAUGGGGACAUCCCCGAGUGGUGAAAGCAGCAAUGCGCCGAUGGAGUGCCUCGCGGCCUAUCAGCUAGUUGGUGAGGUAAUGGCUCACCAAGGCAACGACGGGUAGCUGGUCUGAGAGGAUGGCCAGCCACAUUGGGACUGAGACACGGCCCAGACUUNUACGGGAGG
Molecule: ribosomal RNA, 232 nt
Filed under: uncultured bacterium
Lineage: Bacteria
Description: partial 16S ribosomal RNA
Rfam family: Bacterial small subunit ribosomal RNA
Source: RNAcentral